Molecule: ribosomal RNA, 274 nt
Filed under: uncultured bacterium
Lineage: Bacteria
Description: partial 16S ribosomal RNA
Rfam family: Bacterial small subunit ribosomal RNA
Source: RNAcentral
AUACGGAGGGUGCAAGCGUUACUCGGAAUCACUGGGCGUAAAGCGCGCGCAGGCGGUCUUUUAAGUUGGAUGUGAAAGCCUACGGCUCAACCAUAGAACUGCAUCCAAAACUAUUUAGCUAGAGUGUGGGAGAGGAAGAUGGAAUUAGUUGUGUAGGGGUAAAAUCCGUAGAGAUAACUAGGAAUACCAAAAGCGAAGGCAAUCUUCUGGAACACUACUGACGCUGAGGCGCGAAAGCGUGGGGAGCAAACAGGAUUAGAAACCCUAGUAGUCC